RNAcentral lists this long non-coding RNA (853 nucleotides) under Homo sapiens (human). Its description in RNAcentral is "HSALNT0017185". The record is from RNAcentral. Lineage: Eukaryota; Metazoa; Chordata; Mammalia; Primates; Hominidae.
CAAACACUGGGAUCCCUGGAUACCAUGAGGCAAGAUUUCACUCUGUCACCCAGACUGGAGUGCAGUGGCACAAACAUAGCUCACUGAAGCCUCAAACUCCUGGGCUCAAGAGAUCCUUCUGCUUCAGCCUCCUGAGUAGCUGGGACUUCAGAAUCCCAGUCCUCUCUCUCUCACUGACCCCGAAGAUAAGCAUUGGAAAGGGGAGCUUUGGGGAAAUGAAUCUGCCCUGUCAUCUGCGUAUAGAGCUAAUCUUAAAUCCCAACUGCCAAAUGGAUCCUGAGGUGUCAGAAACUCUCCCGAGAUAAGGGGGCUUCUAGCAACCAUCUGCAUUCUGGACCCAGAGAGAAGGUGUGGGUGGACAAAGCAAAGCAGAGCCCUGACCUCACACCAGCUGGCUGAGCUGUCUUGGCUUGCAUUUGCUGUUCCAGCAUUUGUGGAGUUUGAAAUCUGCAUGCUUGGAGUGCGGAGAGCUGGAUCUUGCACCACAGUCUCCCUGUGGGCUCUUGAAUCUUCAGGCGCCUAAGCCAGCAAGAGAUACCUUUAUAGAGAAAGGACAUGUAGCCUAGAUCUGUGCUUCUCAAUUAUCAUUGAUGAGAAAACCAGGGGAAGCAGAGGUAAGAACCUGUUCAAGAAGGCACAUCUCAGAUGUGGAAGAACCAUGAUUCAACUCGAGUCUGUCUGCUUCCCAAGACUGUGGUAUUUAAACAGCUUAUAAUGAAAAUUCCUUCUAUAGCUCCCCAUAAAAGGGCACACAGUUCUUUCUUAACGUAUUAUUUCAGGCAUUCAUUCACCAUUGAUGUAUUUGUGAAGGUGUUCUCUCUAAAUAAACUAUUGGGACCUUACUUGACUGUGA